UCCUUCUCAUUGAGCUCCUUUCUGUCACUGGUGGCAGUCACGGAUUCGCACGAGAAGAAUAGCACUUCACAGAACCAGCGUUGCUUUAGCCUCUCUUUUGGCAGAAGUGUACCGGCUGUUCUGUGAGACAUGC
Heterocephalus glaber (naked mole-rat) is the source of this 133-nucleotide small nucleolar RNA. Its record names the gene SNORA75. It matches the Rfam family "Small nucleolar RNA SNORA75". From Rfam's summary of the family: U23 belongs to the H/ACA class of snoRNAs. snoRNAs bind a number of proteins (including dyskerin, Gar1p and Nop10p in the case of the H/ACA class) to form snoRNP complexes. This class are thought to guide the sites of modification of uridines to pseudouridines by forming direct base pairing interactions with substrate RNAs. The record is from Ensembl. NCBI's taxonomy places the organism in Eukaryota, Metazoa, Chordata, Mammalia, Rodentia, Bathyergidae.